Molecule: long non-coding RNA, 976 nt
Filed under: Olea europaea subsp. europaea
Lineage: Eukaryota; Viridiplantae; Streptophyta; Magnoliopsida; Lamiales; Oleaceae
Source: RNAcentral
CGACCCGCCACUGCACCCGAGGUGCAAAUUUAUUACAAACAAGUUGAUAUGAUUGAAAACAUUCACGAUUAAGAAAAACACUUGAUUUACACAAUUCUCUAUUAAGCUCAUCGAUCUUUUGCCUUUUCAAAUCCUUGAAUUUCAUAAGAUCCAACGUUCUCCUGCAUCAAGACUUCGGGAUUGCUUUUGUCAUAUUUUGACUUGGCCUAACCCUAUUUAUUUUCUCCUUGUCUUUGGUUUCUCUAAACGCUUCUUCAGGUCAACAAAGGAGCUGCAAAAGAUUAUCUAGGCCUGGGAUGUUUGGAAGUCAGGUAUCACUCCAAAACAUUCGUUUAUCAUGUGGUUAGGCGCCCAAUCCAAGCUGCAAACCAAGGACACAAUGCUGCAUUUAGACAUUGACAGAACUUGUGUUGGAAAAAAUAGACGUGCAUAAAUUAUAUUUAAAUAACAUACAUUUUAUGUGCAAAAAUCGAAUAGAAUUUUGACUUAUCAAAUUAAAUACGUAAAGUAGAAAAAGAAAUGCAUGAAUAUGAAUUUGGUCUAGACAAGAAUUCGACUUUUUUUCGUAAGACGAUAAUGCCUCGCAUUAGUGCUAAUGGUUUUUCGACAUUCGUCUCCCAAAAUACAACAACCAUAUCUCGUAAUAAGAGCACUCCAAAUUACGUAGACCAACGAACCUACUUAUGUUUUGAACCCUUUUUAUAUGAAACUUGACUCCAAAUAUAUGCAGAAUUUUCAAGUGAAUAUGCAUUAAUAUAAUAAUACAAUCAUGAAGUGAAUCAAUAAAUGAAUAAACACAUAGGAUCUAUAUAUAGAUGUUGAAAAGGUUUGUUUCAAAAGACACAACCUAUGGAAGAGAUGUAACUAUUGGAAUUAGUCUUUAUAUUUAAGAAGACACACCUCUUGGAAAAUGAUAAUGCCAAAAUUCCCAAUCCUUUAUAUAGAAAGAUACAUUUUCAAUCAAAUAAUUUCUAGA